GAUGCAACGCGAAAAACCUUACCCACCUUUGACAUGUACGGAAUCCUUUAGAGAUAGAGGAGUGCUCGAAAGAGAGCCGUAACACAGGUGCUGCAUGGCUGUCGUCAGCUCGUGUCGUGAGACGUUGGGUUAAGUCCCGCAACGAGCGCAACCCUUGUCAUUAGUUGCUACAUUCAGUUGGGCACUCUAAUGAGACUGCCGGUGACAAACCGGAGGAAGGUGGGGAUGACGUCAAGUCCUCAUGGCCCUUAUAGGUGGGGCUACACACGUCAUACAAUGGAUGGUACAAAGGGUCGCCAACCCGCGAGGGGGAGCCAAUCCCAUAAAGCCAUUCGUAGUCCGGAUCGCAGUCUGCAACUCGACUGCGUGAAGUCGGAAUCGCUAGUAAUCGUGGAUCAGAAUGUCACGGUGAAUACGUUCCCGGGUCUUGUACACACCGCCCGUCACACCAUGGGAGCGGGUUCUGCCAGAAGUAGUUAGCCUAACCGCAAGGAGGGCGAUUACCACGGCAGGGUUCGUGACUGGGGUGAAGUCGUAACAAGGUAGCCGUAUCGGAAGGU
RNAcentral lists this ribosomal RNA (560 nucleotides) under uncultured bacterium. RNAcentral's name for it is "bacterial SSU rRNA". It matches the Rfam family "Bacterial small subunit ribosomal RNA", at positions 953 to 1513 of the family's 1533-position model. The record is from RNAcentral.